CUGUUAAUAAAUGGUCACAAAACGUGUCAACGUAGUUUGUCGACUUUUGCUGCGCCUUGUCUAAAAGAAAAUAAUCUGCAACACAUGCAUAUUUACAAUGCACAUUUUUUAAAGGAAAAGCCAUUCGUGUAGCAUUAGUACCACAUAGUACCACUAUUUUCUCAUAGUCUGUGAUGACUGGCGCCUAUUCACCGGCACACAGCCAGCUGCAGGAAGCAGUGGUUGUUCCUGUGGAACGGUGGGUGAAGUGAUUCUUCCAUCAUGGCCGCCAUUGCCACCCCGCCCUCUCGCCUGCCACUCAGGACUAGCAGUAAAAUGGAGUGAGCGAGACUAGAGAGUGAUGUGCUAUGUGGCUGCUGUGGCACACUCCACUGAACCAUAACCCUUCCCGUUCACCAUACCCGAGCUUAGGGGCUCUCUAUACGUCUUAAGGUGCUUUUAAACUGUGUUAAAGCACAGUAGUGUACGAAGGCGAGAGUUAUUAUCGUGUGAGGAGGAUGGCUGUGCUCUGCACCACGAAGAAGAUGUCAUGCUGAGGAUGGGUUUCUGCACUGAUGUUGUUGGUGUGAUGUACUGUAGCGGUGGCUCUCUCACUGUGUCUCUGUUGGCCAUGAUGCGUAACCAUAGAGAGUGAGUGACAGCCUGGUCUCCACACAGCAUAGGGGGCCUGAGAACCACAGACUCCUUUCAGAAGCAGUGAGGACUGACCAGUCUGCAAGCGAGACACUGGCCUUUCUCCCAUCAUGCCAGUCACUGACUGUUCUAGGCGUUGUGUUCAAAGACUAGUGCCACAAGUAUGGAAAUGCAGAUAAAGCAUUGUAACAAAUGAAAGAGGGAAAAAAAGGGUUAAAUGCCUGGAAAUGGUCACCGUCCACCACUUGUGCCACUGCCUGGUGCAUUUUCUUUUGUUUUGAAAGUUUUGCCAACAUUUUCAGUUGUUGACGGAUCUGUAGAGCGGAGGUAUCUAUCUACACACGCAGAUUAUGAGAGCCCUCAAUGUAAAUAACAUAUUUUUGUUUCUUUGAAUUUAAGAUGACAUUAACAAUGACCUAUCACAGUUUGCUGAUGAUAUGCCCGAAUGUACUCUUUCAGGUAAACAUUCUACAUAGUUUGUUAGAUACGGAAACAUACAACUGCCAUGUAAUGUUUACGAGAAAGCAAUCAAAACAGUAUAAAGCAAGCCUGUUUAGUAUUACGUUUUGCAGGCUAUAUGUUAUUUGGGUAAUUCAUAGAAGCUCUGUAAGUAUGUAAAACAUGUUUUGUUUUUUAUAUUUCCCCCAGAAAUAUCCACAGUAUAUCUAUUGUCUUAAUCAAGUAUCCCCAAACAGUCCAAAUGGAGGAGUAGUCCAAUGGUGGUUUUGGUUAUAUUGUGAUGAUUGAACGAGUUGAACCAGUCGUAGGCUGUGAUAUAAGGCCCACCUGAGUAGUAUGAGAAAGAAUAUGGGAACAUAGCAACAUUUAUCUAGAAUUAUAUCCAAUACAUUUGAUCCAUCUUUAAUUUGUAAAAAAAAAAUGUUUUGUCAAAGUGAUGAAAAAAACAUUAUUCACCAUUUUGUGUAAUGUUGUGAUUGUCCUUCUCAUAAUAAAAAUGAAGACAUACUCAAUUGUGAUGUCUGUGUUUUAAAGUUA
RNAcentral lists this long non-coding RNA (1629 nucleotides) under Salmo salar (Atlantic salmon). Its description in RNAcentral is "lncRNA (ENSSSAG00000092425.1)". The record is from RNAcentral. Lineage: Eukaryota; Metazoa; Chordata; Actinopteri; Salmoniformes; Salmonidae.